Molecule: long non-coding RNA, 7374 nt
Filed under: Coffea arabica (coffee)
Lineage: Eukaryota; Viridiplantae; Streptophyta; Magnoliopsida; Gentianales; Rubiaceae
Description: long non-coding RNA (CARA_LNC008042)
Source: RNAcentral
GACUCAUUAAUUUCAUAUUAACUUCAGAGAUAAUAUUGUGGUAUACUAAAACCACAUAUUCAAAUCUUUUACAAUGCCAAGUUUAAUACAAAACUUCAACCAUAAUAUGAUACUAAAGGAUUUACAAUUACAAAAGUCUUCACAUUAACUCCCUAAGAUCCCUCGUUCAUUCCCCUACCACCAACUCCUGUAAGGAAAACAAAGCUGAGGGGAUGAGCUUACGCCCAGUGAGGUUUCCAUGCAAGCAACGAUCAAUAAACACUUAAACCAGAUAAGCCAGUAACAAAAUUAAGCAACUAAGGAACACUUCACUGAAUAAAGUAGAGAACACUUCAUUGAACAAUCACUUUGAAAAGGAUACGGUGCUGGCAUUAGAGCCACUUCCUUCUGGGAGUUAGUUCAAUAUCAUUGCACACUCAUUUCAAUGUCAUUGUUCAUUUAUUUCAGUGUCAUGAGACACUCAUUUCAAUAUCAUUGCAUACUCCGCCAAUUCACCUCCUUAUGUCCUCCAAAAUAAUAAACAAUCCCCUGCAUUCAAUGAUUAGUUUAAUAAUCUCCCAAUUUCAAGAUAAUACUCGAGUAUAUCGAAACAUUUACCCAAAGCUUCCAUCCUAUCCGACCAAGCCCUUUGCUGGCUCGAAUAGUCCGUUGAACAGAGGGUUUUGAGGCCUAGUUCAGCCGAUGUGGUAAAGUACACACACGGCUUACAGUCAUGCACACUUACAAUAACACUUGAUCAAUUAGCAACUUUCAAGCUCAAACUAAGUCAAGUGCGAUAAAGUACACACCCGACUUAGAAGGCGAUGGACAAUUGACAUAUACUUUACAAUGAAUCACUAGCAAUAUUCCAUAAUAAGCACAUUUAUCAUAUAAUUUCAUUUAAGCAAACAUAAACAGUUAAACACAUAAAUUCGGAAACACUCACCAAAUAUCCAAAUAAAUUACUCUCGAGCCUCGGAUUUGUUUUCUGGCUCAUAGCUAUCCCCUGAGACAAUUUAUAACUCUAAAGUAAAUAUACAAUUCAUAGAUCACCACUUAUCAUUUAUUACCUUUUAUGAUUUAAACUAUUAAAGUCAAGUUUUGGCUUUAAAACAUAAAAUAUAACAUAUUUUAUAUUUAUUUUACAUUUUUUUUCAAAAUUUAUUAAUUUUAUUAUUUCAAACCAAGAAUUAUACAUUUUUCCCAAGUUUGUAUCUUUAUAUAAUAUUUAAAUCAGGAAUAUAUCUUUCUCAAUUCAAUUUUCAUUAAUUAUGGCUUAUAGACACUCCAUUUGUUCCCUUUUAAAUCAACUAAACUCUAAGUUGUUUGUAAAUUAAACUUUUUAUUCCACUACACCAGCCCCUCAAGUUCUAAAGUCUUUAAAAUAUUCAUGAAGACAAUGUUAAGUUAUUGUAGACACCAAAUUUUUAAUUUAGUUUUAUUUACUAUUAUUUUUAUUUUCAUUGAUUAAAUGUUAAUUAUUAUUAUUCAUUUUUAGUCUCUUAGUUUUUAUUUUUAGUAUUUAAAUUUCAGAAUAAGAAAAUUUUCACAAAAAAAGUUGUUUUAAUCAUUUUGGAUUCAAUUUGAAAAAUAUAUAUAAUUUUGUUUCUUUACUUAAAUAAAUUUUUGAAAGAAAAAAUACAAAAAAAAAUAAAAUAAUAAGGAAGAAUGUGUGAAUAGGUGUAAACUUGCAUGUGAGACAAGUGUCCCUUUAUGUAUUUGACAACACACCACCUAGAAGGUGAGGUGUUGAGACACUUGGAGGCCUAAGAUUUGAAGGAAAAGAAAAAACAAAAAGAAAAUAACGAAAAGGGAAGGAGAUGUGGCGGCUAGGGUAGAAAAAAAAGGCAACAAGAAGAAAAAUGGGGGGAUGCUAGAAAAAUGGGGAGCUUCGUCUGAGAGCCAAAAAAAAAAAAGAAUAGAGCAAAAGGAAAAAGAGUGAGAAAAACAGAGAAAAAAAAAGGGCGGCGGACGAGAGGGAAAAGAAGAGGAGUGCAAGAACUGAAGAACAGGGGAAGAGAAGGGGGAACCUGAGAAAUUUGGAAAGGAGCUUCAGAGCUGAAAAAAGAAAAAAAAUAGAGGGAAGGAGGGAGAAUCCGGGAAAGAAAAAGAAAGAAAAAAAAAACAGAGGGGAAGUGAAGGAACAUUAGAAGAACGAGGCGGGUUCAUCAGAAGAGCCACCGGAACCGCCGCCGCUCGCAAGAAGCUGCCACCACCUCACCGGAAUCCAUUGUCAUUGCCUACGGAUUUUCACCGAGCAAGAGGAUUGUAAGCCAUCUUUUUCCCUUUGAAUAUCAGUUUUUUUUCUUCAAGCACAAACGCUGGAAAUCCCAAAGCAUGUCUUUUGUGAAUUUGUUAUUGCAAUUUUCCUGUUGAUUGUCUAUAAUUUUUUGAUCGCACACGCUUUAUGGGUUAAUUGGACUGAAAUCCCUUGUUUUCUGACUAUUUUGGGGCUGAUUGUAACUUCAAUUAAGCAAACAAUAGGUGGAUUUUUUAAUGCCCAUUUGUUGUUCGAUGAAAUGCCUAAUUGAAAGUUUUACUUGAAAGACGGCUCAUCUGCGUUUUGCGUGUGGAAAAAAAUGAACAGAGAGCAAGUUCAAUGUUUGUCAAAACAUAAUAGUUGAUUUUCACGGUAGAAAGGAGAGUUUUUGAUCUUGAUGUGCUUGUGUGUGACACCUUUUCUGUUUUUCUGUUUCUUGUUCUUCCCUUGGUAUGAACUCAAAUUAUGUCGUAAGAUUGCAUGCGAGAGAGUUUGGGUGAGUAUUCAUUUUCUUUUGGAGGGGACCAGAGGAGUUGAAGUGCAACCUGUUGAUGUUUUUAUUCUGCGAGGAAAGGGUAAAUGGCCGCUGAUGUUCUUUUGAUCUUCAAUGGUUUAAUAUUCAUGAUUGGGUUGUGUUAAUCAAGGGGGUUGAAUUUGUUAAAGGGUCUUGUUUGCUUCGAAUUUGUUUCGUGUGGUUCCUGGGGUGAGUUAUAGAAGAAAGAAUGUAGAAGAAAGCUGCAAGAGAGCUUCGAGCAGGAUGCAUGAUAAUUUCUGAAUUUUUUAUUUUAGCCCCCAACUUUUGUCUAAUUGCAGUAUGGCCCAAAUCUUUUGUAAUUGAACCAUUCACGUCCCUAUUGAGUGUUCAUCUUCUCUUCAUAUUUUAAGUGCAUUUCUAAACAUGUUAUUUCUGUGAUUUGGGGUAUAAUUAAAUCUUAAUUUGUUUUAGUGGAUUUAUUAUCUUAUUGGGUUAUUGUAAAAUAGGUAGUUUGGGUUAAAGGUUUGUUUGGUCGGGUUUGGCUAAUGGGUUGUUAGUUUUUUUUUUUUUUUUGGGUUUUUGGCUUGGAUUUAGAAGGUAAAAGCCUACCCUUUUUGUUGGGUUUGUUUGGGGUAAGAUUAUGGUCUGACCCGUGCACUUUCCUUGGAUUUUCGUAAGGCUUGGGGUUUUCGGCCCAAACAAAUAAGAAAAGGGCCCAACAGUCUGUUAAGUCAAGAAGUCUGUGACGAUUUUUCAUUCCAGUCCCCUAAUUUUUGAGUAUUUUCACUACGGCCCUACAAACUUUUGACUUCUUCCACUUAGGUCCCUAAUUUAAUUGCAAAUUGGUCCUUGAACUUUAUCUUUCCUUCUAGUUUGGCCCUAAAGGUUCUAGAAAUCAUGAUUUGGCCCUAAAAACUUUCUGAUAUUUGUGAUUUGGUCCUUGGCAGAUUUAAUUUUGCAACUUCAUUGCUUGUUUGCUUCAAUUAGCCACCAUAUUUUGUUUAAACUGCAUUUAAUUCAUAAUUUUAAGGGCUUUAUGACCAAUUGAGCUUGUGUUUGCAUAUUUUCUUCAGUUUUCUCAAUUAAAGUGAUGCCUUGAUUCUUUCUUUGUUUUUGGAGGGUAAAUAAGUAAUUUCACUUCAUUAGGGUUUCAACUCAAGGGAGGUACACUCUAUCCCUUAUUUUGACUUUAUUUGAUCCUAUGUGCCCUAUGUGACUCUAUGUGCUUAAUUGCUUACCUUUUGAAUGUUUUCAUUUCAUUUAUUUAUUUAUUCGCUUUAUUUGUUUUAAUUUUGUAUACUUAUUUCAAUGUAAUUAUUUGAAAGGCAUUCAAAGGCCAAAGUUGUAAUAGUUAAGGGUUUAUUUAUUUUUAUUUUUCCCCUUUUAGAUUGUAGUAGGGCCCCCCAAUAUAAUAGUUAGGGCUUGUUUGCUUUAUUUGCUUGGUAUGUUUUGCAUGCUUAUGUGUUAUGUAUUAUCCGCUUUUUUAGGGCCUUGCAUCUAGAUAUCAUACUUAUGUGUUAUGUGCUAUACGUGAUUUAUGUGUUUACAUGCUUUUAUUAGGUCUUACAUGAUUUAUUUGAUUAUAACAAAUGCAUGUCGUCACUACACUAGUCCAACACUAGUUGUGACCCCCUUUCCCGAAUCCACACUAGUCCAACGCUAGUUGUGGCUCAUUGUUCUGAUUUUUCACUAGUCCAAUGCUAGUAGGAAUUCAUAGAUAUGAGCUAGUCCAACGCUAGACCCUUAGGAGCCCUUCGAGCGUUAGAUCAUGAUUGUGUGAUAAAAUCAUUUCAUCUCAUGCAUAUUUUUCACUUUCUAAGGUCUUUUAUCAUUUUUUGCAUGUUCCCCUUAUAUAUAUCCCCUAUCCCACAUUCCCUCUUAUAUUCGUAUCCCCUAUUUUUAUUUUUCCUUUAUAUAAAUCCUAUGUAUGAGACAUGACAUUAGAUUUGCAUUUCAUGUAGGGAAAAUUAGAGAUAGGUUAAUACAUUUGUUUGAUUAGAUUAGGAAAAACCCCUUGAGUAUGGGAUGUGGACAAGUUUGAUUUUCUAACCUUAGCACGCUCAUAUUCCCUCUGUUAAAGGGAAAAUUGAGUCACGAACAUUAGUCCCCCGUACCUGACAUGAUGCAUUUCUUUAGGACAUGUAUAUUUGUAUAAUUAUGAUUAUUUUUAUUAUUUUCCUUCCCUUUUCUUAGAGUCUCAUGUUUUUGCAUUAUUCGUGACUUCUUCGAAGAGUCUUUAUUGGGCAUCACAAUUAAUGUGAUUGGUAUCAAGUAAGUUUUGAAAAUAUAUUUCGACCCCUCGACACCCUCUUAGGUUUAGGGUUUGCAUUCAUAUAGUACGUCCAAAUGUGAUAAAUGCUUAGAUUAAAGAUAAGAAAAUCUUUGACUAAAUCACGCAACUAGUUUUGGCUAGGUUGAAAGGGUGUUUUGGAUUUUGUCCUUGCCUUCCCUUUCUUCAAAUGUGACUCCUGAACACGUUUCUUUGAUUUUCGUAAACUUGGAGUCGUUUAAAAAGGAUUUUUAACUUUUUCUUUAAAAAUUCAUUUUUAGGUGACUUGGUACACCUUAACUUUAUACCAAGUGGCGACUCCGAUUUUUAUUCAAAAAUCAUUUUUAAACUAUAAUUUGGGCCUUUCUUCAAAUGUGACUCCCGAACACGUUUCUUUGAUUUUCGUAGACUUGGAGUCGUUUAAAAAGGGUUUUCUACUUUUUCUUUAAAAAUUCAUUUUUGGGUGACUUGGUACACCUUAACUCUAUACCAAGUGGCGACUCCGAUUUUUAUUCAAAAAUCAUUUUUAAACUAUAAUUUGGGCCCAAAUCGUCGCAUUACAAAUCCCAUUUAGGCUCAUUUUCUUUUAAAUCAAAAAUUCAUUUUCCAAUCAAGAAUUGAAUUAAAAUUCAUUUUUUUAAACCAUUUAUUUUUCUUAUUUUUAAAAAAAUGGGAUGCCACAGUUUUUAGCAGCCGUUUGAUGUAUAUAACUACAACAAAUUACUUUGGAGUUUCCAAAACAUCAUGGAAGGCAUAACUAAUUACCAUUUCAGCUAGCAACAAUAUUCCAGCAAUAUUACUUCGGAUUUUCAAAAAAACUCCAUUCUUUUACUUGCUUACAGCUCUAAGCACUAAAUGUACAUUCGGUACAGUUUAAUCCAAGACAAAUAACACCUAGUUUCAACAACUUAUUCGAUCAAAUGUCAUUCUCAAAAUCUGUCAUCAUCAUUUGCAUUAGUCGUUAGCUCUUCCAACAGUAUGGCAGCUUAAAUUUGCAGCCUUUACUCCCUAAUUGCUUCGGUUAACUCUAACUUAUGGUGCCAAACACGUUUGCUAAUCACAGAGCAGUUUUAGCUAUCAUCUGUGCAAGUUUAUGGUGUCAGAAAUUGGAGGAAAUGUUGUUCCAGAAUUUAUUUCCCUCUCUCUCAACAUCACAGCAGGUUGCAUCAGCUUCCUUUUACCAAGUUUAGCUAGACUUCCUGAAAUUUUCUGACUUCCUAAGGCUCCUAUCUGUUCGGUCAAAGGUUUAACAAAUUUUCCAUGUAUUCAUUAAUAAGAGUUCCAGAAUCAGCAACAACAAUUGCACAGCCUGCUUCAUUCCCUCGGCCAACUACCUGCAAUCAGUUAAGUGUAUUUGUCCUGUUAUGUUCAUUCUAGUUUCUACUUGUUUCUUGCUCGUUGAAGUUUAAGGUCUGUGUGAUAUGUUACAACUUACUACACAGGCCUAGAAACUAAGGGUUGCAGGGAACAACUAGAAUCUCUUAUCUGUUCUGCUCAAUCAAAACCAACAGGUUUUGAAAGGUAGUGAUUUUGCAGCUGGUGCUUCCUUUUUUAUUCUCCCUCAGUUUAUAUCCUAGCUAAACUUAUAGAAUGUAUUGAUUUAACUGCAAGUUAUCCUAAGCCAAACAUGACAGUUUAUGGUUAGGAUUCAAAAGGAAACUGGAUUAUGUCUUAGGUCGGCGCAUGGCUGCAAAUUCUGAUGCACAGCAACCUGCAUCAGGUUUCUUUCCUCAGUCGAAGCUCAGUUUCUCUACUCAAACACUACUUGCAGCUUAUUCAUUCAUUCAUUUUUACCGAAUCAGCAUGAGGUUAUUGCAGAUUCUUAACAUUAUCAUCCCAAGAAAUAUUAAGAACAGUUACAAGUUCCAGUUUCUGCAAUUUCGCUUUUCUUGCAGUUUUACAAUUCCUGCACGACAUUUACUUCAGCAAAAAGCUCAAAUUCCUAGCUAAAUUUAACAUGCAGCUAGAGUUUAUCCAAUUAUACCAACUAAGCAGUGAGUUGUUAUAAGAUCUUACCUCUUUCCCCCUAAAGUUCGAUGUUGCAGGGUGCUCAAGUUUCUGUUUCAGCUCCUCAAGUCCUAACACUCGAUUCUCCCGUUUUCCUUACCUUCGUUUGCUUGAUUGUGGUUAGCUGAUGAAGAAGCUAGCCAAAUUGUCCUUCCCUCACACUCUAUUCCACUCCCUCGGUUCUGUUUUGUAGAGAUUGAAAGAAAGAGAGAAAGGAAGAGCUGUCUAGUUUCUUUGCUCUCGGUCACCGCCCAACUAAUGAAUCAGUUUCUAUUUGCUCCACUCAGUCACCGCUUAAACUUAGCAGAUGAUUUCUCUUUGUUUUCUCUCGGGUCUUAUUGAUUAAGAAUGACAAGAUUGUUUCCAUUCGGUGGCUAGUGGCAG